Molecule: ribosomal RNA, 500 nt
Filed under: uncultured bacterium
Lineage: Bacteria
Description: partial 16S ribosomal RNA
Rfam family: Bacterial small subunit ribosomal RNA
Source: RNAcentral
AUUGAACGCUGGCGGCAUGCCUUACACAUGCAAGUCGAACGGUAACGCGGGGGCAACCCUGGCGACGAGUGGCGAACGGGUGAGUAAUACAUCGGAACAUAUCCAGUAGCGGGGGAUAACCUAUCGAAAGAUUGGCUAAUACCGCAUACGAUCUACGGAUGAAAGCGGGGGACCGCAAGGCCGCGCACCAUUGGAGUGGCCGAUGUCAGAUUAGCUAGUUGAUGGGGUAAAAGCCUAACAAGGCGACGAUCUGUAGCUGGUCUGAGAGGACGAUCAGCCACACUGGAACUGAGACACGGUCCAGACUCCUACGGAAGGCAGCAGUGGGGAAUGUUGGACAAUGGGCGCAAGCCUGAUCCAGCCAUGCCGCGUGAGUGAAGAAGGCCUUCGGGUUGUAAAGCUCUUUCGGUGAAGACGAAACGGUUAGCGUUAAUAACGCUGACUAAUGACGGUACUCACAGAAGAAGCACCGGCCAACUACGUGCCAGCAGCCGCCGUAA